Molecule: ribosomal RNA, 253 nt
Filed under: uncultured bacterium
Lineage: Bacteria
Description: partial 16S ribosomal RNA
Rfam family: Bacterial small subunit ribosomal RNA
Source: RNAcentral
UACGGAGGGGGCUAGCGUUGUUCGGAAUUACUGGGCGUAAAGCGCACGUAGGCGGACUAUUAAGUCAGGGGUGAAAUCCCGGAGCUCAACUCCGGAACUGCCUUUGAUACUGGUAGCCUAGAGAUCGGAAGAGGUGAGUGGAAUUCCCAGUGUAGAGGUGAAAUUCGUAGAUAUUGGGAAGAACACCAGUGGCGAAGGCGGCUCACUGGUCCGCUACUGACGCUGAGGUGCGAAAGCGUGGGGAGCAAACAGG